Molecule: RNA transcript, 1837 nt
Organism: Prunus dulcis (almond)
Lineage: Eukaryota; Viridiplantae; Streptophyta; Magnoliopsida; Rosales; Rosaceae
Gene name: receptor-like cytosolic serine/threonine-protein kinase RBK2
Exons: 8
Source: RefSeq, a predicted model, not a curated record
CUUGAAAAGGGAGACAUCGUUGAAACGGUUAGAGUAAUUCCGAAUCCAAGUCCACCUUCUUCCAAAUCUCUGCACACUUUCUCUCUCUUCCUCUGUUUUAUUGCUCUGUUUGUGUAUGAGAAGAUUAAGAGAACCUUCACUCUUCAGUCUUUGUGGUUUCCUCUUACUCUUUCUGUUUUGAUGGGCCAUAUAUAUGCAGAAAAGCAAAGAGACGAUUGGGUGAAUUGAAAUUUUUUGGAGUUUGGUAGGUUGUGAUCUUUGAAAAAUGAAGGAAGAUGUUGAGACGGACUCUCCCAAAGGAGUUCUUGAGGACUAUUUUAGGAGUUCGGAUUCUGAAACAAGCUUUUCCAAAGAGCCGACUGCGGACUCUGAAAAUCACCAAAUAUCAAAACCAACUUCUCGGUGGCAUGGACUUGUGCAAUUAUUGAGAACUAAAUCCAAGAAACCCAUAGCCACAACAAUGCAUCCUCUCGUGAAAUUCUCAAAAAGAAUGAGCAGUAGUAUGCGUGAGAUUAUAACGCCGAAGUUUCAGUCAGAUAUUGAUGAUAUGUACCCUUUCAAGUCACCAUGGAAGAACUUCUCCCUGUAUGAGCUCCAGGCUGCCACCAAGUCUUUCAGCCACGAAAAUCAGAUUGGAAAGGGGGGUUAUGCUGAAGUUUACAAGGGCUGUCUACCAAAUGGGCAACUUGUGGCAGUCAAACGGCUAACCCGGGGGACACCGGAAGAGAUUACCGGGGACUUCUUAGCAGAGAUUGGUAUCAUGGCUCACGUGAAUCAUCCAAAUACUGCCAGGUUAAUUGGGUAUGGGGUUGAAGGAGGGAUGCACUUGGUUCUGGAAUUGUCUCCAAAAGGGAGCUUAGCUUCUGUGCUUUAUGGUUCAAAGGAGAAGCUUGAUUGGGGGAUCAGGUAUAAAAUUGCAUUAGGUGCAGGUAAGGGUUUACAAUAUCUUCAUGAGGGCUGUCAAAGGAGAAUUAUCCACAGAGAUAUUAAGGCUGCAAAUAUUUUGCUAACAGAGGAUUUUGAGGCCAAGAUUUGUGACUUUGGUCUUGCAAAAUGGCUACCAGAGAAAUGGACUCACCACACUAUAUCAAAAUUUGAGGGCACAUUUGGCUAUCUUGCUCCCGAGUUCCUACUGCACGGCAUAGUAGAUGAAAAAACUGAUGUUUUUGCCUAUGGUGUGGUGCUGUUGGAACUAGUCACCGGACGCCGAGCACUAGAUUACUCUCAGCAAAGCCUUGUUUUGUGGGCAAAGCCCUUGCUGAAAAAGAAUGAGGUUAAAAGCUUAGUCGAUCCUUCUCUAAGAGAUGAGUACAACACUCGGCAGAUGAAUCUCGUAUUGCUGGUUGCUUCUGCAUGCAUACAACAGUCCUCAAUACGAAGGCCAAGUAUGAAUCAGGUGGUACAACUUUUGACUGGAGAUCUUAGCAGCUUGAAGUGCAUGAAGAAAAGCCGAAUGCCGUUUUACCGGAAAGCAUUUCAGGAUGAGCACAUCAACACAGAAGACCAUGUCCAACCAAGAAUUAAAGGACCUUAAUCGGCAUUAUGGAGUGGGGGUUCGCCUGGAACUGUGGAAGCCAUGAGGUUGUUGUCCCAUGAGACAAGUAAUGUGACAUGGGAACUUUUGGAGUAAUGGGAAUGGAAACUAGGAGUUUCUGGUUUUGGUCCAUCAAGUCCAAAGAAGGAAAGGACGACUAUGGUUCUCAAACUGUGUAAGUGUAUUUAAGAGUUAAAGAACAAAAGGAAAGAGUGACAAUUUGUUUAUCCAACCCAUGUACAUAAUACAAACUACAAUCAAAGAAAUGAAUGUUAGUAAGUUAAGCAAACUGUUUUAAUUAUC